AUGCCUAUUGAUUCAGUUGGUGGGCCGGCCCACUGGGCAUCGCCAAAUGGACCUACAUUGAAUCGUACCAUCUCAGAAUGGACCUACAUUGAAUUGCUAGAAGAAGUUGCACACGAAUCAGGCUUGUCCGACUUCAGAUUAGAAGAGGAACCAAAAAUCCUUCUUUCGGAAUUUGCUGCAAACAAGCAAAGACCCGACCAAGGAAUGUCGCUGCUAACAUCUAGAUAUCCAUCGCUGCAAUUUUGGGUGGAUGUUUACACAUGCAUUGAGCAAAACAGACUAAACUGGAUUAGGAAUAAUCAAGGGAAGCUACGAACUAAACUUUAUAGUGGACCGCAGGACACGAUUGAGAGAGGGGACACCAGAACAGAGCAGGUCGGAAAGAGGAUAAUUGUACCUUCAUCAUAUACAGGAGGUAGAAGAAACAAGGCACAAAACUUGCAAGACGCAUUUGCAAUAUGCCAUUGGGAUGGAUAUCCAGACCUAUUUAUAACAUUCACAUGCAAUGCAAAGUGGCCUGAGAUCCAAUACAUGCUAGAUGAAGCAGGAGGAGGCCUCAAGCCAGCCGACCGACCAGAUAUUGUUGACUGA
RNAcentral lists this ribosomal RNA (591 nucleotides) under Triticum aestivum (bread wheat). RNAcentral describes it as "partial small subunit ribosomal RNA". The record is from RNAcentral. Lineage: Eukaryota; Viridiplantae; Streptophyta; Magnoliopsida; Poales; Poaceae.